Molecule: ribosomal RNA, 855 nt
Filed under: uncultured bacterium
Lineage: Bacteria
Description: bacterial SSU rRNA
Rfam family: Bacterial small subunit ribosomal RNA
Source: RNAcentral
AGAGUUUGAUCCUGGCUCAGAGUGAACGCUAGUAAUAUGCCUAACACAUGCUAGUUGAACGGAAAUUUUUAAAUUUCAGUAGCGUAAGGGUGAGUAAUACGUGAGAAUCUGCCUAAAAGUUCAGUAUACUUCUGUUAUAGAUUAAUUCUGAAUAAUAUAUAAAGAUUGUUUUUAUCGCUUUUAGAUGAACUCGCGCAAGAUUAGGUUGUUGGUGAGGUAAAAGCUUAACAAGCCUGUGAUCUUUAGUUGGUAUGGGAGUAUGAUCAACCACAUUGGGAAUGAGAAAAGGCCCAGGUUCUUUUUAGAGGCAGCAGUGAGGAAUUUUGGACAAUGAGCGCAAGCUUGAUCCAGCAAUGUUACGUGAGUGAAGAAAGUUAUGUGAAUUGUAAAACUCUAAGUUUGAAGAAGAUAAUGACGGUAUUCAAAUGAAUAAUCCCGACUAACUUCGUGCCAGCAGUCGCGGUAAUACGAAGGGGAUAAGCGUUACUCAGCAUUAUUGGGCGUAAAGGGUGCGUAGGUGGUUUAAUAAGUUAAUACGAAAAUCCAAGACAUUUAAUUUUUGUAAAGUGAUUAAUACUGUUAAACUAGAGUGUAAAAGAGGAUAGUAGUAUUCUUAGUGUAGAGGUAAAAUUCGUAAAUAUUAAGAGGACUAUCAAUAGGCGAAGGCAACUAUCUGGUUUAUUCUGACGCUGAGGCACGAAAGCAUGGGGAGCAAACAGGAUUAGAUACCCUGGUAGUCCAUGCCCUGACCGAUGAAUGUUGAAAGCUAAAGUAUUUAUUUAGUUUUUAAGCUAACGCGUUAAACAUUCCGCCUGGGGACUACGACCGCAAGGUUGAAACUCAAAGGAAUGACGG